This 494-nucleotide ribosomal RNA is filed under the name uncultured bacterium. RNAcentral's name for it is "partial 16S ribosomal RNA". It matches the Rfam family "Bacterial small subunit ribosomal RNA", at positions 28 to 507 of the family's 1533-position model. The record is from RNAcentral.
GACGAACGCUGGCGGCGCGCUUAACACAUGCAAGUCGAACGGAAAGGCCUGCUUUCCCUUGUGGCUUGCGGGUACUCGAGUGGCGAACGGGUUAGUAACACGUGAGUGAUCUGCCCCCAACUUGGAUAUAAGCCUGGGAAACUGGGUCUAAUUCCCGAUAGGACUGCAGGGUGGUGCCUGUGGUUGAAAACGAUUUUCUAGUGAUUGGGGAUGAGCUCGCGGCCUAUCAGCUUGUUGGUGGGGUAAUGGCCUACCAAGGCGGCGACGGGUAGCCGGCCUGAGAGGGCGGACGGGGACAUUAGAGCUGGGACACGGCCCAGGGUCCUACGGGAGGCAGCAGUGGGGGAUAUUGGACAAUGGGGGGAAGCCUGAUGCAGCGGCGCAGCGUGGGGGAUGACGGCCUUCGGGUAGUAAACUCCUUUCGAGCGCGGGGAAGCUACCUGGUUGGGAGGGAUGUGACGGUAGUGGUAGGAGAAGGACCGGCUAACUACGUG